GACGAACGCUGGCGGCGUGCUUAACACAUGCAAGUCGAGCGGUAAGGCCCUUUCGGGGGUACACGAGCGGCGAACGGGUGAGUAACACGUGGGUGACCUGCCCUCAGCUCUGGGAUAAGCCUGGGAAACCGGGUCUAAUACUGGAUAUGACUCCAUGACGCAUGUUGUGGGGUGGAAAGCCUUGUGCGGCUGAGGAUGGGCCCGCGGCCUAUCAGCUUGUUGGUGGGGUGANGGCCUACCAAGGCGACGACGGGUAGCCGGCCUGAGAGGGCGACCGGCCACACUGGGACUGAGACACGGCCCAGACUCCUACGGGAGGCAGCAGUGGGGAAUCUUGCGCAAUGGGCGAAAGCCUGACGCAGCGGCGCCGCGUGAGGGAUGACGG
This 385-nucleotide ribosomal RNA is filed under the name uncultured bacterium. RNAcentral describes it as "bacterial SSU rRNA". It matches the Rfam family "Bacterial small subunit ribosomal RNA", at positions 28 to 414 of the family's 1533-position model. The record is from RNAcentral.